RNAcentral lists this long non-coding RNA (1562 nucleotides) under Apteryx owenii (little spotted kiwi). Its description in RNAcentral is "lncRNA (ENSAOWG00000015064.1)". The record is from RNAcentral. Lineage: Eukaryota; Metazoa; Chordata; Aves; Apterygiformes; Apterygidae.
AUUUGCUUUGCUCCAUCCCUGCUCCAGAAGAAAUCUCUCUUUCUCAGCUAAUAAGAAAUGAACUUACUCUUUGCUCCAGUCACGGGAGUCAUUGUUCUGACUUCUUGUUCAGGGGUGCAUUCCCAUUCAUCAGUAUUUUGCUGUUUUUUACUGAUCUGUUGUGUCAUAACUAUAAAAAUGUGUUAAUAAAAAACAGAUGUUCAUAGCAAUAGCUUAGAGUUUCCUUUCUCCUUCAAUUUCUAAUCAGCUUAACAAAAAAAAAAAAAAAAAGUCACAGCUCAAAGCAAUGUUCCAAACACUUGCUGAAAUACUUGGCGGAAAAGCUCAAAAAGUCUUUAAAAAGUCUUUUUAAAAGUCUUUAAAAAAACAAAUAGACAAAAAAAAUCAUUAAGAAACAAAGAUUGAAAAUCACAGCUGAGAGCAGAAUUUGCAGGAAUUGAAACUUGAACUACAGUGUGCGCACUAACCAAAACUCAGCAGAUAGGAAUUUGGGACCUAAUCUUGAAAGCCUUGACUAACCCCAAAGAAGUCAUGGACAAGUCAUGUCUCCCAAUGACAUAAGCAGAGCCAAGAUGUCACUUCACUUCCAGUUCUCACUGCCUGGCUCAACUUUAAUGAUACUAUAAUAAGGGCUUCUAAAUUUUGGACUUGUGUAUCUAGCGCACAUACCAUAAGAACUGUAUUUCACCACUUUUAGAGAACGCCAGAUUAACCAAUAUUUUCAACAGCAUUUCUUGUUAUGGAACAUACCCUCCCAAACUCCCAUUCUUCAGUUACACAUCUGUCUGCUUGGAACAUAAAGUCUUGGACUGUUAUCUUCACAUGUGACUCCAAACAACAGGGAAGAAAACCCUCUGAAAGAACACCACAAAAAGAAAACAGAAGUGCAGCUUUCACUUGGGCAGCAGCAGCCCAAUCGUAUUACUAGAGCUCCUCGGAAGAAGCCACAGUGACACUGCAGUAAUCUCGGGAGGAGCCACACAGGGGACAGGUCACCCUGGAGGUAAAGGCUGGAGUUGCUAAGCAGGAAAGCACAAGGAGAAAACAGUGAUAUUUUCUGAAUGGACAAUUGAGGAUGUGUCUUCAUAUUUUCUAGGACAAAUACACACCUUUCUCCUGCACUCCCAGGUGGCUGGAUAACGCCCAGCGGCAUAGCUACAAGUAAGCUACGCUGAGAAAGGCUUACCACUUUGGGCUCAGCACCACGCAAGUGCAGCUACACGGCCACUAGAACGGAGCCAGCUCGUGUCUUUCUGGCUUGGCAUGAGCGCCUGCUUGCAGGAGAGAAGAGCAAGUGCACGUCUGCUUGAAACUGUGAUGCAAGUUAUUUUAAAACUGAAGUGAUGCUUAUUUACAGUAAUAUUACACAUUUACCAUAAAAUACAUUAUUUAUGCUGUGGAUUAACUGUAUUUGCUCAGUCAUUUUUCCCUUUUCUCAGGAUGCUGGUAUUUUGAGACUACAAAUUUCUCAGGUGUUUUAAACCCUAAUUUCUGCAGCUGAAACAAGUGGGAUCUAAAGGUACACAGCAGCUCUGAAACUCAACCAUCCCAUUUCCCACAAG